UGAGGAAUAUUGGCUCAUGGACGCAAGUCUGAACCAGCCAAGUAGCGUGCAGGAUGACGGCCCUAUGGGUUGUAAACUGCUUUUAUACGGGGAUAAAGUGGGGCACGUGUUCCCUUUUGCAGGUACCAUAUGAAUAAGGACCGGCUAAUUCCUUGCCAGCCGCCGCGGUAAUACGGCAGGUUCGGGCGUUAUCCGGCUUUAUUGGGGUUAAAGGGAGCGUAGGCCGUUUGGUAAGCGUGUUGUGAAAUGUAGGAGCUCAACUUCUAGAUUGCAGCGCGAACUGUCAGACUGGAGUGCGCACAACGGAGGCGGAAGUGAUGGGGUGGCGGUGAAAUGCGUAGAUAUCAUGAAGAGCACCGAUUGCGAAGGCAGCUUACGGGAGCGAAACUGACGCUGAAGUUCGAAGGUGGAGGUAUCGACCAGG
RNAcentral lists this ribosomal RNA (424 nucleotides) under Verrucomicrobiota bacterium. RNAcentral describes it as "Verrucomicrobia bacterium partial 16S ribosomal RNA". It matches the Rfam family "Bacterial small subunit ribosomal RNA", at positions 355 to 776 of the family's 1533-position model. Lineage: Bacteria; Pseudomonadati; Verrucomicrobiota. The record is from RNAcentral.